UACGUAGGGUGCAAGCGUUGUCCGGAAUUAUUGGGCGUAAAGAGCUCGUAGGCGGCUCAGUAAGUCGGAUGUGAAAACUCGGGGCUCAACCCCGAGACGCCAUCCGAUACUGCUGUGGCUUGAGUCUGGUAGGGGAGCACGGAAUUCCUGGUGUAGCGGUGAAAUGCGCAGAUAUCAGGAGGAAUACCAGUGGCGAAGGCGGCGACCUGGGCCAAUACUGACGCUGAGGUGCGAAAGCGUGGGGAGCAAACAGG
RNAcentral lists this ribosomal RNA (254 nucleotides) under uncultured bacterium. RNAcentral's name for it is "partial 16S ribosomal RNA". It matches the Rfam family "Bacterial small subunit ribosomal RNA", at positions 524 to 776 of the family's 1533-position model. The record is from RNAcentral.